This is a long non-coding RNA of Saccostrea echinata, 1009 nucleotides long. RefSeq lists it as uncharacterized. NCBI's taxonomy places the organism in Eukaryota, Metazoa, Mollusca, Bivalvia, Ostreida, Ostreidae. The transcript has 3 exons. The record is from RefSeq and is a predicted model, not a curated record.
GGCAAAGUUGUUUUGGAGCAACGUGCGUUAUGUAUUGCAAAUAUCUGACUGAAUUGACAUGAAUUGCACUAAAGGACUGUACAAGAACAGAAUCGUACAUACGUGCAGGUGUAUACGAAGUGAAUAAUCUGUUAAGAGAGACGAUGACGGUGAGCUUGUAUCAGCAACUUGUGUAUAAAAUUACUAGAUCUGUGGAAUUACUGUCCUCGUGAUGAUCAAGGUAAUGCCAAUUUGUUCAUACUGAUAUCAGUAUGGUCAAUGUCGGAAGUUAAGCUUGCAAGGUCAUCCACCAAAAUCCAAAAGUGAGCCCCCAGACAGGGAUGACCGUCCGAAUGUGUCCGCUUACUCAACUUGGAAAGGGGAAGUAAUGUAUACUAGUUUUGAAAGAGGUGUACUCAAUGUAUAAACAGCUGAUAACCAAGUGACUGAAACAGAAGAGUCUGUAUCUCAUAGUCAUUGCCUCAGUUGACCUGAACUAGAAGAUGUCAAAACAUUUCAGUGAAAUCUCAGGAAAUGAAAUCAUCACAGCUAUCACAAAACAAAGACUGGAGUUCAGUGAAAGAGUUCAACACUUUGGAUAAAAUUAAUGAGGCAGUGACUUUCAUCUUCCAUGAAUCUAUAAGCACUUAAGACUACAGUUUUAUCAUGUUUAUGUUUCAGUAUAAGAAACUACUAAACAAAGGACAGUCGUUGACUACAAAAGAAAACCUGGGUUGACUUGUGAUAUUCUGUGUAACAGACCUGUUUACUCUUACGAUUUCGCCGUAUUUUGUACGGAUUUUCAGUCCAAAAUACGUCUCACGUUUUGCUAUAACGAAAAUACGGAAAUCCGUUCAUAUGGAUUUUAGCAGUUAGUUUUCGUUAUCUGUCUCAGUUUGACGCUUUUUAUUCGCUAAAAAAGGUAAAAAUUUCAAACAUUUAAGUCGCCAAAAUGCGGUGGUUUAAAAAAUGACAGAAAUCACUCAAAAGAAAGCAGGGUAUGAUGUUUUGCUUUGUUACUAAACCAUGU